CAGUCGCCGCGGGAAUACAGAGGGUGCAAGCGUUAAUCGGAAUUACUGGGCGUAAAGCGCGCGUAGGUGGUUUGUUAAGUUGGAUGUGAAAGCCCCGGGCUCAACCUGGGAACUGCAUCCAAAACUGGCAAGCUAGAGUACGGUAGAGGGUGGUGGAAUUUCCUGUGUAGCGGUGAAAUGCGUAGAUAUAGGAAGGAACACCAGUGGCGAAGGCGACCACCUGGACUGAUACUGGCACUGAGGUGCGAAAGCGUGGGGAGCAAACAGGAUUAGAUACCCCUGUAGUCCCUGUCUCUUAUAC
This 301-nucleotide ribosomal RNA is filed under the name uncultured bacterium. RNAcentral's name for it is "partial 16S ribosomal RNA". It matches the Rfam family "Bacterial small subunit ribosomal RNA", at positions 509 to 807 of the family's 1533-position model. The record is from RNAcentral.